GGACUUCUUGGAGCUGGAGAGAAAGUACAGGAGAGCAAAGAGCCCUGCUGCCAAACAGAGCAGCGAGCAGGAGCCCAGGGUCAGAACUCAAGGACAGGAGCCAUGCUGGAUGCUGUCCCUGUGCCAGGUCACAGGACUCAUCUGGACCCCGGUGAUGCAAUGGAGGAAGCAGGGCACAGGUGGGAAAGCCCACAACAAUUCACAGCCCAGGGUAAGCAAGCCCUUGGGGAGGACAAGACUGACCAUGGACAAGCUGGAAUGGUGGGAUGAAGAUGUGUUAAUCAGGAUUGCUGACAGGAGCAGAUCUAUUUACAGGAACCUGAAUUGAAAGGGAGAAAAAUGGUUUACAACAGCCUGUGGCAGUGAUGGAGCAAGAGCCUUAUGUAAGAGCUGGCGGAGGUGAGGCAGCAAUGAGUGAUCCUGGAGGGAUGUUUCUCUGAGGUGUGUUCUCUCCUGGCCUGGGAACAGCAGUCUCAAGGGCACAAAUUCCAGCAUCUGAAUGUGCUUGGUCUUGUUCAGCUCAUUAAUUUCCUACAGCUAUCCCAAGUCAAGCUAUGAAAUCCCCUAGUGCUUUACUCCGAGCCUUUCAUGGCUUGUCAAUAAAUUAUUUUCCAAUUAAGUACCUGAUAAUUUGAGUCUGCAGGCUCUUAGGAGAGGCAGCGUGGUGAGAGAGAGAAAAUAAUGGAAGUCAUGGACGUUUCCCUGCCUGUAAAAUGAAUAAAGGUUCUUCUCUGAAG
This is a long non-coding RNA of Melospiza georgiana, 737 nucleotides long. RefSeq lists it as uncharacterized. The record is from RefSeq and is a predicted model, not a curated record. Lineage: Eukaryota; Metazoa; Chordata; Aves; Passeriformes; Passerellidae. The transcript is spliced from 3 exons.